This 109-nucleotide transfer RNA is filed under the name Pelodiscus sinensis (Chinese soft-shelled turtle). It matches the Rfam family "tRNA". From Rfam's summary of the family: Transfer RNA (tRNA) molecules are approximately 80 nucleotides in length. Their secondary structure includes four short double-helical elements and three loops (D, anti-codon, and T loops). Further hydrogen bonds mediate the characteristic L-shaped molecular structure. tRNAs have two regions of fundamental functional importance: the anti-codon, which is responsible for specific mRNA codon recognition, and the 3' end, to which the tRNAs corresponding amino acid is attached (by aminoacyl-tRNA synthetases). tRNAs cope with the degeneracy of the genetic code in two manners: having more than one tRNA (with a specific anti-codon) for a particular amino acid; and 'wobble' base-pairing, i.e. permitting non-standard base-pairing at the 3rd anti-codon position. The record is from Rfam by way of RNAcentral. Lineage: Eukaryota; Metazoa; Chordata; Testudines; Trionychidae.
GUCAGGAUGGCCAAGUGGUCUAAAGUGCUGGACUCAAGGUGCUGUCUUUCCCUGAAUUGGGCAUUCUGGUCUCUGAAAGGAGAUGUGGGUUCAAAUCCCAUUCCUGAUA